This is a non-coding RNA of Anas platyrhynchos (mallard), 771 nucleotides long. The record is from RefSeq and is a predicted model, not a curated record. Lineage: Eukaryota; Metazoa; Chordata; Aves; Anseriformes; Anatidae.
AACAACUAACAAAACUUGUGCUGGAAACUAAGGCUUCUUGGGUAAAAUGCUUACCCCUUGCACUGUUAAACAUAUGGACACAGCCCAGAACUGAUGUAGGAAUUUCUCCUUUUGAAAUGCUAUAUGGUAUACCCUAUGACUUGGAAUUGCCACUUGAUCACCCUCAAUUCUAAUUAAGACUUGGAAAGUCUUAAGAAUUGGAAAGACUUGCUUUAACACCACGAUGGGGAAGGCCCCUAUGUUGUUUUGCUUACCACAGAAACGGCUAUUCGAACUGCGGAGAAAGGAUGGACGCAUGCCAGCCGUGUGAAAGGACCAAUCCGGGAAGGUGAUAAUUAUACCAAGGAUUCUAUACCACCCUGAGGAUUAUAUGUACAUCCAGACACAGUGGAAAGUCAUCAUCUGGAAAGACGGGAACCAUUCACGGCUCUAACUUUGGCCACCCUAAUAAUCCUGGGAGGAGCUGGAGUGGGGACCAGGGUAGCCUCAUUGGUUAAACAAAAUCAAGAAUUUACUUCCUUAUGCAUUGCUGUGGACGAGGACCUGACCCAAAUUGAACAAUCCAUCUCGGCCCUGGAAAAUCUAUCAGGCCAUUUUCAGAGGUAGUGUUACAAAAUCGUAGGGGAUUAGAUUUGGUAUUUUUUUACAACAGGGCGGGCUGUGUGCAGCCCUGAAAGAGGAAUGCUGUGUGUAUGCUGAUCACACUGGAGUGGUAAGAAAUACAAUGGCAAGACCCAGGGAAGGGUUGAAAAAAAAAAAAAAAAAAAAAAG